Molecule: ribosomal RNA, 460 nt
Filed under: uncultured bacterium
Lineage: Bacteria
Description: partial 16S ribosomal RNA
Rfam family: Bacterial small subunit ribosomal RNA
Source: RNAcentral
CCUACGGGAGGCAGCAGUGAGGAAUAUUGGUCAAUGGGCGAGAGCCUGAAGCAGCCAAGUAGCGUGAAGGAUGACUGCCCUACGGGUUGUAAACUUCUUUUAUAAAGGAAUAAAGUGAGGCACGUGUGCCUUUUUGUAUGUACUUUAUGAGUAAGGAUCGCCUAACUCCGUGCCAGCAGCCGCGGUAAUACGGAGGAUCCGAGCGUUAGCCGGAUUUAUUGGGUGUAAAGGGAGCGUAGAUGGGUUGUUAAGUCAGGUGUGAAAGCUCGCGGCUCAACCGGAAAAUUGCAAUUGAUACUGGCAGUCUUGAGUACAGUUGAGGUAGGCGGAAUUCGUGGUGUAGCGGUGAAAUGCUUAGAUAUCACGAAGAACUCCGAUUGCGAAGGCAGCUUACUAAACUGCAACUGACACUGAGGCGCGAAAGUGUGGGUAUCAAACAGGAUUAGAUACCCGAGUAGUC